Molecule: ribosomal RNA, 331 nt
Filed under: uncultured soil bacterium
Lineage: Bacteria
Description: bacterial SSU rRNA
Rfam family: Bacterial small subunit ribosomal RNA
Source: RNAcentral
AGAACGAACGCUGGCGGCAUGCCUAAUACAUGCAAGUCGAACGAACUCUUCGGAGUUAGUGGCGCACGGGUGCGUAACGCGUGGGAAUCUGCCCCUUGGUUCGGAAUAACAGUUGGAAACGACUGCUAAUACCGGAUGAUGACGAAAGUCCAAAGACUUAUCGCCAAGGGAUGAGCCCGCGUAGGAUUAGCUAGUUGGUGAGGUAAAGGCUCACCAAGGCAACGAUCCUUAGCUGGUCUGAGAGGAUGAUCAGCCACACUGGGACUGAGACACGGCCCAGACUCCUACGGGAGCAGCGAGUAGGGAAUAUGGACAAUGGGACGAAAGCCUG